RNAcentral lists this ribosomal RNA (500 nucleotides) under uncultured bacterium. RNAcentral describes it as "partial 16S ribosomal RNA". It matches the Rfam family "Bacterial small subunit ribosomal RNA", at positions 30 to 523 of the family's 1533-position model. The record is from RNAcentral.
AUUGAACGCUGGCGGCAUGCCUUACACAUGCAAGUCGAACGGCAGCACGGGAGCAAUCCUGGUGGCGAGUGGCGAACGGGUGAGUAAUACAUCGGAACGUGCCCAGUAGGGGGGGAUAACUAGUCGAAAGAUUAGCUAGUACCGCAUACGACCUGAGGGUGAAAGCGGAGGACCGUAAGGCCCUGCGCUACAGGCUCGGCCGAUGGCUGUUUAGCUAGUUGGUGGGGUAAGAGCCUACCAACGCGACGAUCAGUAGCUGGUCUGAGAGGACGAUCAGCCACACUGGGACUGAGACACGGCCCAGACUCCUACGGGAGGUAGCAGUGGGGAAUUUUGGACAAUGGGGGCAACCCUGAUCCAGCAAUGCCGCGUGAGUGAAGAAGGCCUUCGGGUUGUAAAGCUCUUUUGUCAGGGAAGAAACGGGAGUGGCUAAUAUCCAUUCCUAAUGACGGUACCUGAAGAAUAAGCACCGGCUAACUACGUGCCAGCAGCCGCCGUAA